AUGGGUCAGCGACUUAUAUUCUGUAGCAAGGUUAACCGUAUAGGGGAGCCGCAGGGAAACCGAGUCUUAACUGGGCGUUAAGUUGCAGGGUAUAGACCCGAAACCCGGUGAUCUAGCCAUGGGCAGGUUGAAGGUUGGGUAACACUAACUGGAGGACCGAACCGACUAAUGUUGAAAAAUUAGCGGAUGACUUGUGGCUGGGGGUGAAAGGCCAAUCAAACCGGGAGAUAGCUGGUUCUCCCCGAAAGCUAUUUAGGUAGCGCCUCGUGAACUCAUCUUCGGGGGUAGAGCACUGUUUCGGCUAGGGGGUCAUCCCGACUUACCAACCCGAUGCAAACUACGAAUACCGAAGAAUGUUAUCACGGGAGACACACGGCGGGUGCUAACGUCCGUCGUGAAGAGGGAAACAACCCAGACCGCCAGCUAAGGUCCCAAAGUCAUGGUUAAGUGGGAAACGAUGUGGGAAGGCACAGACAGCCAGGAUGUUGGCUUAGAAGCAGCCAUCAUUUAAAGAAAGCGUAAUAGCUCACUGGUCGAGUCGGCCUGCGCGGAAGAUGUAACGGGGCUAAACCAUGCACCGAAGCUGCGGCAGCGACACUAUGUGUUGUUGGGUAGGGGAGCGUUCUGUAAGCCUGCGAAGGUGUGCUGUGAGGCAUGCUGGAGGUAUCAGAAGUGCGAAUGCUGACAUAAGUAACGAUAAAGCGGGUGAAAAGCCCGCUCGCCGGAAGACCAAGGGUUCCUGUCCAACGUUAAUCGGGGCAGGGUGAGUCGACCCCUAAGGCGAGGCCGAAAGGCGUAGUCGAUGGGAAACAGGUUAAUAUUCCUGUACUUGGUGUUACUGCGAAGGGGGGACGGAGAAGGCUAUGUUAGCCGGGCGACGGUUGUCCCGGUUUAAGCAUGUAGGCUGAUUGUCCAGGCAAAUCCGGAUAAUCAAGGCUGAGGUGUGAUGACGAGGCACUACGGUGCUGAAGUAACAAAUGCCCUGCUUCCAGGAAAAGCCUCUAAGCAUCAGGUAACAUUAAAUCGUACCCCAAACCGACACAGGUGGUCAGGUAGAGAAUACCAAGGCGCUUGAGAGAACUCGGGUGAAGGAACUAGGCAAAAUGGUGCCGUAACUUCGGGAGAAGGCACGCUGGUGUGUAGGUGAAGUCCCUGCGGAUGGAGCUGAGACCAGUCGAAGAUACCAGCUGGCUGCAACUGUUUAUUAAAAACACAGCACUGUGCAAACACGAAAGUGGACGUAUACGGUGUGACGCCUGCCCGGUGCCGGAAGGUUAAUUGAUGGGGUUAUCCGUAAGGAGAAGCUCUUGAUCGAAGCCCCGGUAAACGGCGGCCGUAACUAUAACGGUCCUAAGGUAGCGAAAUUCCUUGUCGGGUAAGUUCCGACCUGCACGAAUGGCGUAAUGAUGGCCAGGCUGUCUCCACCCGAGACUCAGUGAAAUUGAACUCGCUGUGAAGAUGCAGUGUACCCGCGGCAAGACGGAAAGACCCCGUGAACCUUUACUAUAGCUUGACACUGAACAUUGAGCCUUGAUGUGUAGGAUAGGUGGGAGGCUUUGAAGCGUGGACGCCAGUCUGCGUGGAGCCAACCUUGAAAUACCACCCUUUAAUGUUUGAUGUUCUAACGUUGGCCCCUUACCGGGGUUGCGGACAGUGUCUGGUGGGUAGUUUGACUGGGGCGGUCUCCUCCCAAAGCGUAACGGAGGAGCACGAAGGUUAGCUAAUCCUGGUCGGACAUCAGGAGGUUAGUGCAAUGGCAUAAGCUAGCUUGACUGCGAGCGUGACGGCGCGAGCAGGUGCGAAAGCAGGUCAUAGUGAUCCGGUGGUUCUGAAUGGAAGGGCCAUCGCUCAACGGAUAAAAGGUACUCCGGGGAUAACAGGCUGAUACCGCCCAAGAGUUCAUAUCGACGGCGGUGUUUGGCACCUCGAUGUCGGCUCAUCACAUCCUGGGGCUGAAGUAGGUCCCAAGGGUAUGGCUGUUCGCCAUUUAAAGUGGUACGCGAGCUGGGUUUAGAACGUCGUGAGACAGUUCGGUCCCUAUCUGCCGUGGGCGCUGGAGAAUUGAGGGGGGCUGCUCCUAGUACGAGAGGACCGGAGUGGACGCAUCACUGGUGUUCGGGUUGUCAUGCCAAUGGCACUGCCCGGUAGCUAAAUGCGGAAGAGAUAAGUGCUGAAAGCAUCUAAGCACGAAACUUGCCCCGAGAUGAGUUCUCCCUGAGACUUUAAGUCUCCUGAAGGAACGUUGAAGACGACGACGUUGAUAGGCCGGGUGUGUAAGCGCAGCGAUGCGUUGAGCUAACCGGUACUAAUGAACCGUGAGGCUUAACCUU
This 2330-nucleotide ribosomal RNA is filed under the name Klebsiella pneumoniae. RNAcentral's name for it is "bacterial LSU rRNA". It matches the Rfam family "Bacterial large subunit ribosomal RNA", at positions 615 to 2925 of the family's 2925-position model. Lineage: Bacteria; Pseudomonadati; Pseudomonadota; Gammaproteobacteria; Enterobacterales; Enterobacteriaceae. The record is from RNAcentral.